RNAcentral lists this long non-coding RNA (1004 nucleotides) under Olea europaea subsp. europaea. Lineage: Eukaryota; Viridiplantae; Streptophyta; Magnoliopsida; Lamiales; Oleaceae. The record is from RNAcentral.
CGAAGAGCUCCGCCAACAAGUUACCGCAUUAACUCAGUUGUUAAGCCAAAGGAACUCACACCCAUUGCAUACACCGACAUCGGAUGGUGAUCUGAUGGCAACUGCUCGAGUUCGAAUUCGAGCUCCACAAAAUAUUCCUAAUAACGGUGUUGGAACCUCGAGUGUACCUCCUAUGACUGUAGCCUCAAGGGCAGUAAUGAUGGAAUCGUGUGAACUUGCCAGAAUCAUCCAAGAAGGAAUUAUCGCGAGCCUAGCACAGAAAGCUAAGGGGUCAACAGACUUUACUCCUAGCACUCCUUUUACUCCUGAAAUAUUAUCCUUUUCUCUACCUGACAGGUUCAAGUACCCUCGUGUGAAAGAGUAUGAUGGUACUAUUGACCCUAUCAACCAUCUGAACAUUUAUACCAACGUCAUGAAUCUCUAAGUUGCUCCCGAUCAAGUUAUGUGUAGAGCUUUUCCUCAAACGUUGAUCAACGCAGCCCGAGACUGGUUUUCAACUUUGGAGCCUAGCCUCUUUCUCGGAUCUAGUCGAUAAGUUCUCCGCCUUCUUCGCCAGCAGCAAGUGCAUCAGGAAAACAACAGCUUCUCCCCAUGUAACUUCGACAUGGGCAGAAUAAAUCCCUUCGCAACUUCAUGACCAGAUUCAAUAAGGAAAGACUCCAGAUUCCAGACCUCCAUAUUAUAGCCACAGUCUCGACCUUAACACAUGCCAUAAGGUGUGAAGCGUUCAAGAUGUCUCUAUCAAAGACCCCUCCUACGUAAGUAACCGACCUACUUACUCGAGCCGAGAAUUACAUUAACAUGGAAGAGACUAUGUUUCCAAAGAGAGAUGCCCCACCAUCAGCUAAGCCCGAGCUUAAAAGGUAGCAUGAGCUUAAUCUGCAUUAAGAUCAACCUCGAGGUAAGACAAGGCAUGAAAACCCUUCAACAGCUUUUACUCGCAUGAAUAUCACAAGAUCUAACAUUUUGAUGAAGAUCAAGGAUAUGAAAGAGCUCAAAUGGCC